CAGAAUGUAGCUAAAGCAGAAAAGCAUCUCCCUUACACCGAGAAGACACUCGUGCAAAUCGAGUCAUCCUGA
RNAcentral lists this transfer RNA (72 nucleotides) under Ctenopoma nigropannosum (twospot climbing perch). RNAcentral's name for it is "tRNA-Val". It matches the Rfam family "tRNA". Rfam says of the family: Transfer RNA (tRNA) molecules are approximately 80 nucleotides in length. Their secondary structure includes four short double-helical elements and three loops (D, anti-codon, and T loops). The record is from RNAcentral. RNAcentral also lists the same sequence under 1 other name. Lineage: Eukaryota; Metazoa; Chordata; Actinopteri; Anabantiformes; Anabantidae.